Molecule: small RNA, 113 nt
Filed under: Bacillus sp. FJAT-27916
Lineage: Bacteria; Bacillati; Bacillota; Bacilli; Caryophanales; Bacillaceae
Description: BsrF
Rfam family: BsrF
Source: Rfam by way of RNAcentral
GCGAUGAGCUGAAUUGUGUAAGACGAGCACAUGCCUUAAAUGGCGAGCACAAUGUGGAGUGCUGUGACCUCGCCUCAAUUUUCGAAAGAAGACACUUGCUAUAGGCAGGUGUC